This 492-nucleotide ribosomal RNA is filed under the name uncultured bacterium. Its description in RNAcentral is "partial 16S ribosomal RNA". It matches the Rfam family "Bacterial small subunit ribosomal RNA", at positions 29 to 507 of the family's 1533-position model. The record is from RNAcentral.
AGUGAACGCUGGCGGUAGGCCUAACACAUGCCAGUCGAACGGCAGCACAGUAAGAGCUUGCUCUUACGGGUGGCGAGUGGCGGACGGGUGAGGAAUACAUCGGAAUCUACUUUUUCGUGGGGGAUAACGUAGGGAAACUUACGCUAAUACCGCAUACGACCUACGGGUGAAAGCAGGGGGUCUUCGGACCUUGCGCGAUUGAAUGAGCCGAUGUCGGAUUAGCUAGUUGGCGGGGUAAAGGCCCACCAAGGCGACGAUCCGUAGCUGGUCUGAGAGGAUGGUCAGCCACACUGGAACUGAGACACGGUCCAGACUCCUACGGGAGGCAGCAGUGGGGAAUAUUGGACAAUGGGCGCAAGCCUGAUCCAGCCAUACCGCGUGGGUGAAGAAGGCCUUCGGGUUGUAAAGCCCUUUUGUUGGGAAAGAAAAGCAGCAGGUUAAUACCCCGCUGUUCUGACGGUACCCAAAGAAUAAGCACCGGCUAACUUCGUG